Ctenopharyngodon idella (grass carp) is the source of this 4127-nucleotide long non-coding RNA. RefSeq lists it as uncharacterized. NCBI's taxonomy places the organism in Eukaryota, Metazoa, Chordata, Actinopteri, Cypriniformes, Xenocyprididae. The transcript is spliced from 3 exons. The record is from RefSeq and is a predicted model, not a curated record.
GCGAUCUUUCGCGUCGCACUCUAAGCCCAGAACCAAUCCACCAGCUGCGAUCGCUCAGAGCGAGUCUGAGCGUGCGGCAGCCCAGGAAAGCAUGGCUGUCAACUCUGAAACCUAUUCAGCAUGAGCAAACACAGCUGAAGCGGGAAGCUCAGCUUCAUCUUCCUCUCCAGAGAACGAUGGCCCUCUCACCGAUGAAGCUAUCGUCAUCUGAUCCUCAUCCGGAGCGCUCAAUGGCACGCUGUCAGCAGGCAGCUCACCGGCACACGACGCGCUGAGGAGUGGGAGAUCCGUGGGGGUUUCCCCAGCGGAAAGCUCUCGCUGUAACCCUGUCUCCCAAAGUAUUGAACUGACCCGCGGCUGUGCUUUUACACACAAGCGGCGGCUGGGCAACAACAAAGGGGACUCAAGCCUUUACGAGAAAGGAGAGUCAUGACCUGCGUUUCGACGUGAUCAUGUUCCCUCGAGAACAUGAAUCACCCACGAACGCUGUAUCAACAUGCUGGGCAUUUGACACAGAGGCCGUGGCCGUCGGAUGAAAACAGGAAACGACCGUCUUUAAAAAGACACUCGCUGCCGUGCUCGCUCUUUUAGGGGAAAUGCUCUUAGCCAAAGUGCCCAGGGGCGAAUGCUGCCCUGUGUGCACAGCAAGCUGGAUGCAAACACCGCUGGAAUGCACCAUCACACCUGCAGAGAGAUCCCACGACGAGCUGCAAGCAAAAUAGCAAUUAAAAUUGCUGUUUUUGGAGUGUUCUCCUGAUAGCAAUUAAAACUGCUGUUAUUUGCUCAGAAAUUUACUCUCAACAGAGCUGAAUUGGAAAGAGCAAUCACUUUACAACCGGUGUGGCCCGGCAUGUAAAUCUCACUGGCCAAUUCCCAUUGGCUUGUUUUGUUUUGUACCACUUGGAGGUGAUUGGGCUCCCAAGCAAGGCCUCAUUAUGUCAGUAUUGACGUAACGUUGAACGUGACUGACUGAAUGGGAACAUGCCUUUUUUUUAUUUUUUGAUAUAUUUUGUCUAAAGGUUCAAUAAACUGUUCCAUUAAAAUGUAUUUUUCUGACUAUUAUGCCAUAGGUUUUAUAGGGUCAAACAUGGUUUGAUUAAAAAAUGUUUAAAGGUCUGAUCUGGAUUCAACUGGAUCUUGGUGAGCCUUUGGAUUGAGGCCAGAUGGACUUGGCUGAGGAUCCGCUGAAUCUGUGACGGUCUGUGGUCGAGCAGAGUGCACUUUGUUGCAUAACUACAAAAAUUGCAUUUUACUGCCUGCCUGCUUUCUUUUUUCUGAAAAGGAGAGAGAGUGAUUAAAUAGAUAUGAGUAAAAGAAAUUGCCAUCAGAGACCAGAAAUCUCUUCAAGAACGAAGUUAGUGGAUAAAGACAACUCAUUUCUAACCAUUAAAUUGAAUAACAGUAAGAUAACCAGUAAUCUUCUAUUUAUGACUGAAACCUUUUAUUCACCAGACACUUUUAAAACCUUCAUUAAACAUGAAAAGCUACCGCUGUACAAGCAAUAGCCUAUAUACAGUAAACUCCUGUUCACCAUUAUGGACACUAGGGGAAGCUUCAGGAGAAGAGACUUUAGGAGAAACCUCUUCUGAAGCUUCUUUUUGUCAGUUCUCCAUCUCCACUAUGAAGUAAUGAUGGGCGCUUUUGAAACACUUAGUGAAGCUUCAUAACCUUUGCAAAUCAUUUGUUUUGAACCAGUGAUUCGGAGCAUGUAUUAAAACUGCCAAAGUCACAUGAUUUUAGUAAACAAGGCUUUGUUACUUCAAAAAUGUUUCGAAAUGUUUCAAAAUUUCAAUGGUUCGCCACUAGGGGGCGAUAAUCUAUGUGAACUCAUGAAGCAUUGGCUGCAUCCGAAAACCAAGGCAGCUGACUUGAUGCCUUGAUGCCUUAUCAGGCAAUGACUUGUAAGGCAGCAUUUGUGCAUGAAGGCACCUCACGAAACUGAUUUUGGACAGACUUCUGAGGCAGCGUAAAAGUUUAAUGAUCUACAGCAAAAUAGCGCGAGCUUUGGUGAGAACUAAACAAAUAUUUAAUUACUACAGGAGUAAUUUCUCGCUAGAAAUGACAUCAAAAGUGGAAAAUGCUGGUCAAAAAAGUACAUUUACACAAACUGACCAGCAAACGCAACUUUCGGAUGCCAUGUUUAUUUUUCUAGCUCAACUGUCACAAAAGGAAUGCAUAGGAUUGUGGGAUACCAAAGGCAGCGAAGGAUACAUCUAUGCUGCCUUAAAAAAUUGAUCAGAUGACGGUAUCUCAGGAAAGAGGAAGUGAAGCUAACAUUGGAUUCGGACGUGCCUUGAUGCCUUCCUACCUUUAAAAUGUGUCCUCCAAAGGCAGCAUUUUCUAGUUUUUGGACGCAGCCAUUGUGUCUAGAUUUUUACCUGAUCUCGGAUCCAUUUUUAAAUUUGUGGACAUUUAAAAGGGGAGGGAGGUCUAAUGCUAUUUCGUGCAUUCUGACUUAUUUACACUGUUAAAGAGUUGGAUUCUCAUGCUAAACAUGGCCAAAGUUUCAAAACACGAAUUGGACGUAUGACAAAGUAUUUCUUGGCCAAAAAUACUCUUCCGAUUCCUCACAAACUUCGCACUUUUUUUUUUUUUUUUUUUUUGAGUAUGGCCAUUUAUUAUGUAAUAAAGGGCAGAAGUUCCUUGUACGGGCACUUCUCCCGGAAGAGCACAUGAGCACACAUCGACCAGAGCGAGCACACUCAUCAACACGCUUCGUUCGGCUUUACGGAAGUCGUCGGCAGCCCUGCACAGGACUUGCUUAAAGACUUGUCACUUAGUUUUUAGACCAUGAAAUCAACAAUGUCACCAAAGAAGUAUGUUUUUGGUUGUGAGGGAAAGAUAACCUUGCUUCCCAAAGAACCCAGUGUUAAGUUGAGAUGAGAGAUCUGUGCCCACGCAUUACUUUGAUGCUAUAACUAUCAAAAUAGGGAUAAAGUCAUGUCUGAUAGUUGCAAUCACUUUUUUAUUGGUUAAGAUGAAUGGAGAAUAUCCGUGGCUGCUCGAGCCCCAAGGAUCGGCGCUUUUUGGUUUCAUAAACAAGGCCCAGUUCUACGCUGGAUUUACAGAUCAUUUGAAACUGAAAGAUGGAGCGGUCACAGCGAUAAUGAUCCCGGUCAUGAGUCGGAACCGCAGGUGAGCAGUCUUUUUAAAACCGCACAUGCAUAUUUUCAUGGAUAUGUGUGUUAAAGUCUGCGUUUGUUAUCACUGAAGGCGAAGCUACUUCAAAGACUCAAGCCAUAAAUCUCUCAACUUGAAUGUACUCUGAUGGCCAUCCCAGGAAACAAACGACAUACCAGUAAUUCAUUGUUGCUUUUUUUUUUUGUAAUUUCAUAACUUACUAAUUGAUAAUGCAACUAUUAAAAUGACCAACUCUCAAUGUCGUCAGUACGACCUCCUAAGGUUAUAAAGUAACCAUAAACUUUCCAAUUAUGUACUAUAUUUGUUGUACUUUAGUAAUUUCAUGACUUUUUAGUAACUGCAAUGUCAUAGGUCUGUAAUUUCAUUACUAUCAGUUAUACAUUAUUUAUGCUCUGAUGACCAGAGUUUGUAAUUAAAUGUCAAUCACAAAACUGAAAUUUCCCUUAAGAUGAAAUGUUUCAUUUCACCAAAUCAAAAGAUACAGACGAUUUGCUCUUAGUGAAGUUAUGUACAAUUAAAUAGUGCACGUUAGACAUGUGCACAGAAAGACCCCAGUUGGUUAAUAUUGUAAAUGUUAACACUUUUGAUAGUAUUUGAUGUCACUAAGUUAGCCUAUAUUGUGGAAACUGUAGUUAUGUUGUCACGACGAAACUUUGGUCAUAAUAUACUUGCUGUAUAUAUUUAAUAUUAUAAUUAUUUAUUUAUUUUUAACUUACAGCGCCACUUGAAAGUUUGUGAACCCCUUGCAGAAUCUGUGAAAAUGUGAAAAAUUUUAACAAAAUAAGAGAGAUCAUACAAAAUGCAUGUUAUUUUUUAUUUAGUACUGUCCUGAGUAAGAUAUUUUACAUAAAAGAUGUUUACAUAUAAUUCACAAGACAAAAAAAAUAGCUGAAUUUAUUAAAAUGACCCCGUUCAAAAGUUUGUGAACCCUUGAUUCUUAAUACUGUGUGUGGUUACCUGGAUGAUCUACGACUGUUUUUUUUGUU